CUGCAGACGCCGAGGCCUGGAGUCCCUGAGCAUCGAGCCUCCCCGGGGAGCAAAUGCACUCGGCACUCGUGAGGUCCACCGCCAACUCCAUAACAGCGCUCCUAGGGAAAGAGCAGCGCCGGGCGUGUCACUUUUUACACAAGGGCUGUUUAGCUACGUGCUGUAUCAGACACAGGGGACCCCUCCCUGCCUGGGGGCUUUAAAUGCCACGCGCUGAGGCCAGCCCUUCCUGACGUGUCAGCCACUGCCCCCCAGUGUCUGUGGGACCCUGAGGGCCCCUCGGCCUUCCGCUCCGGGGAGCACCUGAAGUGCCUCAAUUUACUCACUAUCUGCCCGUCAGCCACAGCCACACCCUAGGUCGUGGAGAGGGUGUGGUCUGCACCUGCCCGUCAGCCACAGACACGCCCCAGGUCGUGGAGAGGGUGAGGUCUGCACCUGCCCGUCAGCCACAGACACGCCCCAGGUCGUGGAGAGGGUGUGGUCUGCACCUGCCCGUCAGCCACAGCCUCGUCCCUACUUGAUUUUCGUUGGUGUUGCUUAUGAGGUGCACCUUGAUUCCAGAAAUGUCAAAGCAGCAAAGCCGUGGUUGAAAAGCAGGCAGAAGCCUGUGCCGCGUGGGAGGCUCUGCAGCGCCCGCCCCACACCUGGCGUUCCAGCCACCUACCGACCAGAGAUCUGAAGCGUGCGCGUUCUCUCUUCCUCACCGUGGCCGGGGUCCUGUUCUGUGCGCGGAUCAGCUGCUGGUGUCUGCGGGAACACCGGCCCCCGGGCCACUGCGGAGCAGAACGGAUGCUCGUCCUGGCAUCUCCCCGUUUUUGUCUCUUGCCGACUUGUUCGGAAAAUUCAGUCCUGCCGUCUGG
Molecule: long non-coding RNA, 860 nt
Filed under: Homo sapiens (human)
Lineage: Eukaryota; Metazoa; Chordata; Mammalia; Primates; Hominidae
Description: non-protein coding lnc-WDR60-9:1
Source: RNAcentral